AUUGAACGCUGGCGGAAUGCUUUACACAUGCAAGUCGAACGGCAGCACGGGGCAACCUGGUGGCGAGUGGCGAACGGGUGAGUAAUACAUCGGAACGUGCCCAAUCGUGGGGGAUAACGUAGCGAAAGUUACGCUAAUACCGCAUACGAUCUACGGAUGAAAGCGGGGGAUCGCAAGACCUCGCGCGAAUGGAGCGGCCGAUGUCAGAUUAGGUAGUUGGUGGGGUAAAGGCUCACCAAGCCAACGAUCUGUAGCUGGUCUGAGAGGACGACCAGCCACACUGGAACUGAGACACGGUCCAGACUCCUACGGGAGGCAGCAGUGGGGAAUUUUGGACAAUGGGCGCAAGCCUGAUCCAGCCAUUCCGCGUGCAGGAUGAAGGUCUUCGGAUUGUAAAGUGCUUUCAGUAGGGAAGAAAAAAAUAGACGGUACCUACAGAAGAAGACGACGGCUAAAUAAUGUGCCAGCAGCCGCGGUAAU
RNAcentral lists this ribosomal RNA (480 nucleotides) under uncultured bacterium. Its description in RNAcentral is "bacterial SSU rRNA". It matches the Rfam family "Bacterial small subunit ribosomal RNA", at positions 29 to 524 of the family's 1533-position model. The record is from RNAcentral.